Molecule: long non-coding RNA, 1638 nt
Organism: Sarcophilus harrisii (Tasmanian devil)
Lineage: Eukaryota; Metazoa; Chordata; Mammalia; Dasyuromorphia; Dasyuridae
Exons: 4
Source: RefSeq, a predicted model, not a curated record
UAACCUGUAAAUAAAAGGCUAUUGAAAAAAAAAAAAAAGAAGCAGCUUGAUUUAGAAUAUAGUGACAAUUUGUCUCCAUUGAAUCCUCCAGAUAAACUUUCUUCCCUGAAGAUAACUGUCAUCCCAUUUAUCCCUUUGGGUGUGCCAAAUGGUAUACCAAAUUCUAGCCCAUCUGUGUGAAAAGCUCCUUUGGAAGCAGCUAGUUCAUUGAAGAUAUUGUUCUUGAUCUAGGUAUGUAGGUUGUAUGUCAUCUUCUUUUUCUAGAAAUUCUGUAAAUCUGAAGAAUGAAACUACUGCAUUCUGUAAGACAUGGCAUUAGAAUAUAGAUUAGUAGUUCAUUUGUUUAUGUAGUUUAUUGAAACCAAAAUAUUAUCUUUUGAAUUGUCCCAUGUGGAAAAUUUUUUCAGAUCCUUUAAAUCUCCAAAGGAAACAUAUAGGAUAUUCUGGAACAUCUUUCUUGAAGAAAAAAAUAGUUCAAUUACUUUUACUCAAAAGGAAUAAUUACAGUAUUUCACAUGAAUCUUUAUGAUCUCCUUUCCUUCUAAGUUUUUGCCUAAUUCCCAUAAGGAUAGCCUGGGAAAGCAAAGGAUGACCACUAAGCUCUUGCCAACUGGGUCUCAAGCAUCAGUGACUUUUGAGGAUGUGGCCGUGUAUCUCACUCAAGAGGAGUGGGGUCAUCUAGGUCCUGCACAGAGGGGCCUCUACAAGGAUGUGAUGCUGGAGAAUUAUAGCAAUGUGGUCUCAUUAGGAUUUCCAAUCUCCAAACCGGAUGUGAUCUUACAACUAGAACAAAAAGGAGAACCAUGGUUUCUGGAUAUGCAGGGAACUAAAGGUAGAGAGAGUUUAAUAGGCAAGUAAAAAAAUCUGUAUUUCACUUUCAUUAAAAAUAAGAUUAUUUACAAUGUAUUUCAUUAAAAGGGACCCUAGAUUUCCCUUCUUAGCAAUUCAAUAAACAUUUAUCAAGUGCCUACUAUGUGCCAGGUACUGUGCUGGAGAUAUUAAAAAAGGCAAAAAACAGUCCCUGUCCUCAAAGAGCUUACAAAUUAAUGGGGGGACUGAGGGCACAACAUCCAAAUAAAUAUAUCCUAAGAAAAUUAUAUAUAGGAAAUAGAAAAUAGUUAACAGUAGAUGACUCUGGAAUUAAGAGGGGUUAGAAAGGAGUGGGAUUUUAGCAGAAUUUAAAGAAAGUCAGGAGGUCAGUAGUUGGAAUGGAACAGGGAAAGUAUUCUAGGCAAGGGUUGCAGCCAGAAAAAAAUGACCAGAGCUAAGAGAUGGAGUGUCUUGCUUAUGGAAUAACUAGGAGAUUGUUGUUGUCACUGAAUCAAAGAAUAUGUGUCAGGGUAUAAGACAACUAGAAAGUAGGAGAAAGUUAUUUUAUAUAAGACUUUGAAGGUCAAAUAGAAGAUUUUGCAUUUGCUUUUCCAGAUAAUAGGGAGCCACUGGAAUUUUUUGAAUCAGGAGUACAGUAUGUAUGUGUGACAUGAUCAAGGAAUUUUUAUCUGAUUUACCUUUUUCAUUUCAGGUUUGAAGGCCAUAGGAAAAUAAUCAUUACUUUCCUUUUUUCCCUGCAAAAUAAUCCCCUAAUCAACUUUCAUUUCAAGAUUUUUCUCCCUUUAGGUCACAGUUGGUUUUUUUUUU